UUCGUUGUUUUUGCGAAUCAA
RNAcentral lists this non-coding RNA (21 nucleotides) under Caenorhabditis elegans. The record is from RNAcentral. Lineage: Eukaryota; Metazoa; Nematoda; Chromadorea; Rhabditida; Rhabditidae.